This is a long non-coding RNA of Cyclopterus lumpus (lumpfish), 1590 nucleotides long. RefSeq lists it as uncharacterized. Lineage: Eukaryota; Metazoa; Chordata; Actinopteri; Perciformes; Cyclopteridae. The transcript has 8 exons. The record is from RefSeq and is a predicted model, not a curated record.
UCAGCGACGCGCGUCACCAAACGCACUUAUUUCAAGGAGAAGAGAAAAGAAAAAAAGAAACUUGCGCUACACAACCAGCGCCAUUAAAAUGUAUAACGACGACAGAAAGGACGACUGGGAUAACGCACCUCGUCUGCUCUUUCUGCCACUGCCAACUGUGAUGAAGUCCUCACGUUGCAGCGAGAUGAGACUGGAUGGAGCGACCUUUUUUUGUUGUUUUUUUUAACUGAAAGGAAUUGCUGCCAACUGUCACGAAGAGACUGGAUGGAGCUUCCCGUUUGAAGAGAAAGGGAAACGCAAGGAAUUGCUGCCAACUGUCUUAAAGUCGUCACAUUGCAGCAUUAUGAGACCGAGCGGAGCCUCCUGUCGCUGCAAGAUGGUGUAUUCUCCAGAAUCUGUAUUGAUACCGCCUGUCUUGUCUUAAGACCUCCAUCCCGCGCUGGAAGGAUGCCGUGGAGUUUCUCAGGCUUCUCCCUCCCCAAGCCUGACUAUCUGCACACUGACCAGGAGGCCAGCUCCUCCGUGGCUCAAGCUCGGGAGACUUCAGCGAUGUGCUUUUGGCAGGAAGAGCGAUCGUCGACAUGGAGGAGAACAAAACGUGUGUUGCCAGCCGCAGGUUUCCUCUCUUAAUGGGCGGAAGACCUCCGACCUGAUGGCUGGUGAGGACACACGGCCUGUGUUUCAUUGAAGGCUAAUCUUAUAGGCGCACUCUGAAGACUCUCAUCCAGCUCCACAGCAGCCACUGAUAUGGUUGCAGGUCACCGCCGAAGUUGAGCUGGAUCUUCACCUGCUGCACAUGUUGUCCUUGAUCCCUGAGCUGCAGCAGGAUGACCUGAAUUCACCCCACGCGGGGGCAUCGCACGUCCAGUGUGUGUGCUUGUUCUCUAGCUUCUAUCUGAGGACUCCAGCAGCAUGCAGGUUGUCACACAGGUGAGGACGGAGUGCGGCGGCAACUUCCUGACUGGAUGUGCAGCGGACAAGCCACUGAAAAUAAUGUCUUGGAGGACGCCGCUGUCACUCUCUACCUUUUUAAAGGGCCUUUAGGGUUCGAAUAAAUUUCCCAUAACUCUCUGUCCUCGCUCCGAUGGACGUGGUGGCGUUGGAACGGCGCAGUGAUCCACGACGCCGACCGCGUUGCAGCAGCGUGUCGAGCAUCAACCCCCCCCCCACCACCACCAAUACAUUUGUGCUUAACUGUCAUCGCCGUAGUAAAUACGCACAAGCGCUAUCGUGUCUAUAUGGCUGACUGUCAUCGUCGAAGCGCUGGCGUCCGUCACAGGAAUGGCUUCAGAGGAGACUGUGGCGGUUUGACGGUGGAUUCCUCCUGAAGGGAUUGCAGUUCGCGUGGUCGCCUUGCAUCAUCAGAGACCUGGUUCCGUCUGUCGGCGGCCCGGGUCUCUGUUGUGCGUGCGUUUGGUUCAGUGUGCUGAAUACCAGAUGGGGAGCAUUUCUGUUGCCUCGCUCGACGUGGAGUCACGGGUGCAUGUAGCCUCGACCAAUAUAUUGGGUGUUGGCCAGGCAUGAGCAGAUCCUACAGGUAAAACCACUUUGUGUACCGUUUUCAUUUCACUAAAUAAACAUCUACAAAUA